This is a non-coding RNA of Arabis alpina (gray rockcress), 79 nucleotides long. Lineage: Eukaryota; Viridiplantae; Streptophyta; Magnoliopsida; Brassicales; Brassicaceae. The record is from Rfam.
GAUCAAUUGAUGAAUUAAUACUGCAACAAUAUGAUAGAGAAAAUUUUCAUGAUUCUUCGUAUUUAAGUCUCUCAAGAUC